UACGUAGGGCGCGAGCGUUGUCCGGAAUUAUUGGGCGUAAAGAGCUCGUAGGCGGCUUGUCGCGUCGGCUGUGAAAACCCGCGGCUCAACUGUGGGCGGGCAGCUGAUACGGGCAGGCUGGAGUUCGGUAGGGGAGACUGGAAUUCCUGGUGUAGCGGUGAAAUGCGUAGAUAUCAGGAGGAACACCGGUGGUGUAGACGGCUUUCUGGACCGUAACUGACGCUGAGACACGAAAGCGUGGGUAGCAAACAGG
This 253-nucleotide ribosomal RNA is filed under the name uncultured bacterium. RNAcentral describes it as "partial 16S ribosomal RNA". It matches the Rfam family "Bacterial small subunit ribosomal RNA", at positions 524 to 776 of the family's 1533-position model. The record is from RNAcentral.